CUAAGACAGUGUGUUUUUACAGGUUUCUUUGCAAGAAAGAAGUCAAAGGAAUCAAACUACGAAAGGACUGAUGCGGAGGAGCAUUGGUCUCGUAUCGUCAUGCAUUGACAACUGCAUCGUGCCUUUAUAAUAAUAAUACUGGGUUAGUCAGCACUACAUAUUUAGCAAUGACAGGAUUAGAUAUAAUUUUCGUACAAGGGAUAGGUGCCUACCUUACUCCUGAACAAAUUACGGACAAGAGUAGCUUGAUAGCUUCGGCUAUUUUAUAGUCAAAAUAUAUGUAUAAAGAGUUUAAUGUAAAUAAUAGUUUUUAUACUCGGAAAAUUCAUGACUGUGAAAACGCUGUGUCGUCAAAUAUUACUUUUUUUUAGUGUAAUCGUAACAUAAUUUUGUUUUUCAGACGAUUCACUCAAAUUCGUACAAGAGAUUACUGGCUUUUUGCUGGUUCAGCAAGGCUUGACAAUAAUGCUACUUUCCUUUUACAAAGUAUAUCAAGCUUCACAGUACACCCCAAAGACUAUAAAACCACUUGACUGCGCAUACAGUGCCCCGACGCUCGCCAAACAUUAGAGAUUUAGCUCUUAUAAGGCUACAAUCCUAGUAAAAAGCUUUAGUUGUGACCAAGUCUAUGACCUGCGUACACGCUAAAUUAUUGUGGAUUUUAUUAAGUAAAAAAAUUUAAAGAUGCCUAAAUGAGCAGUGAAAUGGUUCGAAAAACAAUCCAGGACAUCUAGUUACAAAAGGGAUGGCAUUACUUUUCAUCGCUAAGUAUCAAUACCAAAAUUUGGCUUUGAUUUAAUUAUAUUACGAAAAUUGGUAUUUUCUAUUUAAAGGGGUCUAUUUCAAUUGGUGGUUGGUGAACCGCGCGCCUGCUCGUUGAUGUCUUUUGGGAAAGUCCCUUUCUUUCAUUAAGAAAUUCUAAUACGUCCAUCUCUUUCUUGCCCUUUGUAUUCCUAUCGAAGAAAUUUGGGUUGUUACCUUUAAAGAUGAAGUGAAUAUCGAUAAUAGUACAUUUACAUUUAUUAAAAAAUAUGUUUGAUUUUGGCCAAUGAGUAAAUUAACUGUCGAAUAAAACAGGUAAUCGAAAAAAAAAAUAUUUUCAUUUUAGAUUUCCGAAGAUUCCAGAAAUAAAAGAGAGGUACUAUCAAUAGGGAAAAUUGGUUUCCAACAAAAUACAACGUUGUUUGCUCAAGGCACUUCACCCCCGACUGUUUAGAAUAUUUAAAACAAUUCCGAUGUUUAUUUAGUUAGCGAUUCCAACAAUGUAUACUAAAUUAAUACAUUUUAAGAAUCAAUAAUUUUCUUGUACGGAUUUCUUUUUUGUAAUAGACUGAUUUUUAUUAAAUAUUCUUAUACUUUUUUUAUUGAGUAUUUAUUACUACGAUGAAAUACAUUUUAUCGAUUGUUUUUUUAAUUGAAAGAGAGCCAUCCCUUUCUGAACGUACUCGUGCAACUCGACCUUGAACUGACCAAUAGUAGCCGCGGAUUAUGUCGCGUCCCCCGGCCCGCAGCGGUGAGUCGUGUUCUUAGAAGAAAUUGGCGAGUGCGCUCUCUAGUGGUUAUUUACUUUAUGGUACACCCCCAGUUUAAUCCACGUGUACGAUUUGUCAAUGACAUAGCAAUUAUUACUGCCUUUUCAAAUUUUCCAACCGAUAGGGUAAUGGUUUUAAACUUGCCUUAUGCGGACGUCAUAACCACCCAAUAUAUGUGUCAUUCUCCCGGCUGGGGAGGCUACGAUAGCUCAACUAAUGCGAGUGUUAACUUGUUGUACACGACGAGCUAUCCGACGACAAACAGUCCGUGUUCCACUUUCUACCGUAACCAGAGCAUUGCGAUAAAUAUGACACCAAACAUGCUGUGUGCUGUACCUUACACAAACACCU
RNAcentral lists this long non-coding RNA (1883 nucleotides) under Helicoverpa zea (corn earworm). RNAcentral describes it as "uncharacterized LOC124631856". Lineage: Eukaryota; Metazoa; Arthropoda; Insecta; Lepidoptera; Noctuidae. The record is from RNAcentral.